RNAcentral lists this ribosomal RNA (497 nucleotides) under uncultured bacterium. RNAcentral describes it as "partial 16S ribosomal RNA". It matches the Rfam family "Bacterial small subunit ribosomal RNA", at positions 28 to 507 of the family's 1533-position model. The record is from RNAcentral.
GAUGAACGCUGGCGGCGUGCCUAAUACAUGCAAGUAGAACGCUGAAGGAAGGAGCUUGCUCUUUCCGGAUGAGUUGCGAACGGGUGAGUAACGCGUAGGUAACCUGCCUGGUAGCGGGGGAUAACUAUUGGAAACGAUAGCUAAUACCGCAUAACAGUAGAUGUUGCAUGAUAUCUACUUAAAAGGUGCAAUUGCACCACUACCAGAUGGACCUGCGUUGUAUUAGCUAGUUGGUGAGGUAACGGCUCACCAAGGCGACGAUACAUAGCCGACCUGAGAGGGUGAUCGGCCACACUGGGACUGAGACACGGCCCAGACUCCUACGGGAGGCAGCAGUAGGGAAGCUUCGGCAAUGGACGGAAGUCUGACCGAGCAACGCCGCGUGAGUGAAGAAGGUUUUCGGAUCGUAAAGCUCUGUUGUAAGAGAAGAACGAGUGUGAGAGUGGAAAGUUCACACUGUGACGGUAUCUUACCAGAAAGGGACGGCUAACUACGUG